CAGCCGCCGCGGGAAUACGUAGGUGGCAAGCGUUGUCCGGAAUUAUUGGGCGUAAAGGGCUCGCAGGCGGUUUCUUAAGUCUGAUGUGAAAGCCCCCGGCUCAACCGGGGAGGGUCAUUGGAAACUGGGAAACUUGAGUGCAAAAGAGGAGAGUGGAGUUCCACGUGUAGCGGUGAAAUGCGUAGAGAUGUGGAGGAACACCAGUGGCGAAGGCGACUCUCUGGUCUGUAACUGACGCUGAGGAGCGAAAGCGUGGGGAGCGAACAGGAUUAGAUACCCCGGUAGUCCCUGUCUCUUAUAC
This 301-nucleotide ribosomal RNA is filed under the name uncultured bacterium. Its description in RNAcentral is "partial 16S ribosomal RNA". It matches the Rfam family "Bacterial small subunit ribosomal RNA", at positions 509 to 807 of the family's 1533-position model. The record is from RNAcentral.